Molecule: ribosomal RNA, 857 nt
Filed under: Flectonotus fitzgeraldi (Mount Tucutche treefrog)
Lineage: Eukaryota; Metazoa; Chordata; Amphibia; Anura; Hemiphractidae
Description: partial large subunit ribosomal RNA
Rfam family: Bacterial large subunit ribosomal RNA
Source: RNAcentral
AAAGCAGCCACCUUUAAAAAAGCGUUACAGCUUACCUGUGUAAUUUGUCAAUUUCUUCAAUUACAAUAAACCCUUUCCCAAUAAUGAGUAACUCUAUACAACUAUAGAAAUUUUUAUGUUAAAACUAGUAACAAGAAGUACUUCUCUUAAAUACUCGUGUAUACCUCCAAUGAACGCACCUGAACUGACAGUAGCAACCCUCCAAGAAAACACUACUGACCACAACGUUGACCUAACCCCAGAGUAUUAAAAGAAAGAUUAAAAGGAAAAGAAGGAACUCGGCAAAUAGUAAUCCCGCCUGUUUACCAAAAACAUCGCCUUUUGAAAUCUAUAAAAGGUCCAGCCUGCCCAGUGACUCUGUUUAACGGCCGCGGUAUCCUGACCGUGCGAAGGUAGCGUAAUCACUUGUUCUCUAAAUAAGGACCAGUAUGAAUGGCAUCACGAGAAUUACACUGUCUCCUUUUCCUAAUCAGUGAAACUAAUCUCCCCGUGAAGAAGCGAGGACAUACCUAUAAGACGAGAAGACCCUGUGGAACUUAAAAUUAAACAGAAAUUGAAUUAAACUCCAAUAUUACUGCAAACUUUCGGCUGGGGCGACCGCGGAGUAUAAACCACCCUCCGCAUUGAACGGAUUAACACCCUAAACAAAAACUACACCUUUAAGUAUCAGCAGACUGACAUCAAUUGACCCGAUACAUCGAUCAAUGAACCAAGCUACCCCAGGGAUAACAGCGCCAUCCACUUCGAGAGCUCAUAUCGACAAGUGGGCUUACGACCUCGAUGUUGGAUCAGGAUACCCCGGUGGUGUAGCCGCUACCAAAGGUUCGUUCGUUCAACGAUUAAAAUCCUACGUGAUC